UGAGACAGGNGNNGCAUGGCUGUNNUCAGCUCGUGUUGUGAAAUGUNGGGUUAAGUNNCGCAACGAGCGCAANCCUUAUCCUUGUUUGCCAGCACGUAAUGGUGGGAACUCCAGGGAGACUGCCGGUGAUAAACCGGAGGAAGGUGGGGACGACGUCAAGUCAUCAUGGCCCUUACGAGUAGGGCUACACACGUGCUACAAUGGCGCAUACAGAGGGCNNCCAACCAGCGAUGGUGAGCGAAUCCCAAAAAGUGCGUCGUAGUCCGGAUUGGAGUCUGCAACUCGACUCCAUGAAGUCGGAAUCGCUAGUAAUCGUGAAUCAGAAUGUCACGGUGAAUACGUUCCCGGGCCUUGUACACACCGCCCGUCACACCAUGGGAGUGGGCUGCAAAAGAAGUGGGUAGUUAACNUCGGGAGGAC
Molecule: ribosomal RNA, 420 nt
Filed under: Vibrio sp. KR10-14
Lineage: Bacteria; Pseudomonadati; Pseudomonadota; Gammaproteobacteria; Vibrionales; Vibrionaceae
Description: partial 16S ribosomal RNA
Rfam family: Bacterial small subunit ribosomal RNA
Source: RNAcentral